UACCAUGCAGUCGACGCUGAAGCUGGGUGCUUGCACCUGGUGGAUGAGUGGCGAACGGGUGAGUAAUACGUGAGUGACCUUCCUUGGACUCUGGGAUAAGCCCGGGAAACUGGGUCUAAUACCGGAUACGACCAGUCCUCGCAUGGGGUGCUGGUGGAAAGGGUUUGUACUGGUUCUUGAUGGGCUCACGUCCUAUCAGCUUGUUGGUGAGGUAAUGGCUUACCAAGGCGACGACGGGUAGCCGGCCUGAGAGGGUGACCGGCCACACUGGGACUGAGACACGGCCCAGACUCCUACGGGAGGCAGCAGUGGGGAAUAUUGCACAAUGGGCGCAAGCCUGAUGCAGCGACGCCGCGUGGGGGAUGACGGCCUUCGGGUUGUAAACCUCUUUCAGCAGGGAAGAAGCGAAAGUGACGGUACCUGCAGAAGAAGCGCCGGCUAACUACGUGCCAGCAGCCGCGGUAAUACGUAGGGCGCAAGCGUUGUCCGGAAUUAUUGGGCGUAAAGAGCUCGUAGGCGGUUUGUCGCGUCUGCUGUGAAAGCCCGGGGCUCAACCCCGGGUGUGCAGUGGGUACGGGCAGGCUGGAGUGCAGUAGGGGAGACUGGAAUUCCUGGUGUAGCGGUGAAAUGCGCAGAUAUCAGGAGGAACACCGAUGGCGAAGGCAGGUCUCUGGGCUGUUACUGACGCUGAGGAGCGAAAGCAUGGGGAGCGAACAGGAUUAGAUACCCUGGUAGUCCAUGCCGUAAACGUUGGGCACUAGGUGUGGGGGACAUUCCACGUUUUCCG
Molecule: ribosomal RNA, 787 nt
Filed under: Rothia koreensis
Lineage: Bacteria; Bacillati; Actinomycetota; Actinomycetes; Micrococcales; Micrococcaceae
Description: bacterial SSU rRNA
Rfam family: Bacterial small subunit ribosomal RNA
Source: RNAcentral